RNAcentral lists this ribosomal RNA (431 nucleotides) under uncultured cyanobacterium. RNAcentral's name for it is "bacterial SSU rRNA". It matches the Rfam family "Bacterial small subunit ribosomal RNA", at positions 28 to 506 of the family's 1533-position model. Lineage: Bacteria; Bacillati; Cyanobacteriota. The record is from RNAcentral.
GAUGAACGCUGGCGGCGUGCUUAACACAUGCAAGUCGAACGAACCUUCGGGUUAGUGGCGGACGGGUGAGUAACGCGUGAGAAUCUGCCCUCAGGAGGGGGAUAACGGCUGGAAACGGCCGCUAAUACCCCAUAUGCCGAGAGGUGAAACGAAAUUCGCCUGAGGAUGAGCUCGCGUCUGAUUAGCUAGUUGGUGGGGUAAGAGCCUACCAAGGCAUCAAUCAGUAGCUGGUCUGAGAGGAUGAUCAGCCACACUGGGACUGAGACACGGCCCAGACUCCUACGGGAGGCAGCAGUGGGGAAUUUUCCGCAAUGGGCGAAAGCCUGACGGAGCAACGCCGCGUGAGGGAUGAAGGCCUCUGGGCUGUAAACCUCUUUUAUCAAGGAAGAAGAUCUGACGGUACUUGAUGAAUAAGCCACGGCUAAUUCCGU